UGGGGGAUCGUCUAACGGCAGGACGACGGGUUCUGGCCCCGUUAAUCCAGGUUCGAAUCCUGGUCUCCCAGCCA
Molecule: transfer RNA, 74 nt
Filed under: Desulfobacterales bacterium
Lineage: Bacteria; Pseudomonadati; Thermodesulfobacteriota; Desulfobacteria; Desulfobacterales
Description: tRNA-Gln
Rfam family: tRNA
About the family: Transfer RNA (tRNA) molecules are approximately 80 nucleotides in length. Their secondary structure includes four short double-helical elements and three loops (D, anti-codon, and T loops).
Source: RNAcentral